AUGGGCGGCAGCUCCAACACGACCACGACCACGAGCGGCGGCGGCGCCGGCGGCGGCGGGAAGGACAAGGACAGGGACAGGGACAGGGCCAGGGGCUCCGCGGUCUCCUUCACGGAGGGCGAGAAGGUGCUCGCCUACCACGGCCCGCUCCUCUACGAGGCCAAGGUUCAAAAAACUGAAAAUCGGGAGGACGAGUGGCGGUAUUUCGUCCAUUAUCUUGGAUGGAAUAAAAAUUGGGAUGAAUGGGUCGCAAGUGAUCGUUUAUUGAAGUUGACUGAAGAGAAUGUUCGAAAACAACUAGAGCUGAAAAACCAGUCAGGGGACAAGACCGUCAGGACUGGUGGACGGUCAGCACAGCAUAACCCAAAAGGCUCUAAUGUGGAUGCAAAAGCCGAUAAAGAGGACACCAAGGGUCUUGUCAAGGGGAAGAAGCGCAAGAAUCAGCUUGGCGUUGAGGAAAAGGAAAGAAGAUCAUCAGAGAGUCUCCUAAUGUCACAGUUUCCUGUAACACUAAAGAAGCAACUUGUUGAUGAUUGGGAGUUUGUCACGCAGCUGGGUAAGCUUGUAAAACUACCUCGAUCGCCCACUGUUGAUGGUAUUCUAACGAAGUAUUUGGAGUAUCGGGUAAAGAAGGAUAACAAGAUAAGUGACUCUUGUGCUGAGGUAACAAAAGGAUUACGCUGUUACUUCGAUAAAGCAUUGCCUGCCAUGCUUUUAUACAAGAAAGAGCAAAAGCAGUAUAAGGAAGAAAUUAAAGGCGACGUUUCACCCUCGACUGUAUAUGGAGCUGAGCAUCUACUACGGCUGUUUGUGAAACUACCAGAGCUACUUUCUUCUGUGAACAUGGAAGAAGAUGCACUCAACAAACUGCAGCAGAAAUUACUGGACAUUCUCAAGUUUCUGCAGAAGAACCAAGUCCAUUUCUUCCUUUCUGCGUACGACGGCGAUUCCAAAGGCGCCGAUGGGGCAAAAGGCAAGUAG
Molecule: ribosomal RNA, 981 nt
Filed under: Triticum aestivum (bread wheat)
Lineage: Eukaryota; Viridiplantae; Streptophyta; Magnoliopsida; Poales; Poaceae
Description: partial small subunit ribosomal RNA
Source: RNAcentral